UGCGUAGGUGGCGCCGUAAGUGGGGUGUGAAAUCCCGGGGCUUAACCCCGGGACUGCAUUCCAUACUGCGGUGCUUGAGGACUGGAGAGGAGACUGGAAUUUACGGUGUAGCAGUGAAAUGCGUAGAGAUCGUAAGGAAGACCAGUGGCGAAGGCGGGUCUCUGGACAGUUCCUGACACUGAGGCACGAAGGCCAGGGGGAGCAAACG
RNAcentral lists this ribosomal RNA (208 nucleotides) under uncultured bacterium. RNAcentral describes it as "partial 16S ribosomal RNA". It matches the Rfam family "Bacterial small subunit ribosomal RNA", at positions 568 to 774 of the family's 1533-position model. The record is from RNAcentral.